UAGCAUAAAAUUGAAGGUAAGUUCUGCCCAAUGAUUUGAUUUAAAUGGCUGCAGUAUAUUGACUGUGCAAAGGUAGCAUAAUAGUUAGUCUUUUAAUUGGAGACUUGUAUGAAUGAAUACAUGAGGGAUUUAUUUUUUUAUAUUUAUUUUUAAAAUUUAAUUUUUAGGUAAAAAAGCUUAAUUGAUUUUUUGGGACGAGAAGACCCUAUAGAACUUUAAUUUAUUUGUUUAAGAUUUAUUUUAGUUGUUUAAUUAUUAUUUUAUUAAAAUAUUUUUUUGUUGGGGUGACAAAUAAAUUCUAACUUUAUUUCUAAUAUUCAUUAUUAUUAAUGUUUAAUUGAUCCUGUAUAGCAUAUAGAUUAUAAGAUAAAGUUACCUUAGGGAUAACAGCGUAAUUUUUAUGGGAAGUUCAUAUUUAUAUAAAAGUUUGCGACCUCGAUGUUGAAUUAAGAUAAGAUUAUGGAGCAG
Molecule: ribosomal RNA, 468 nt
Filed under: Diestostemma dubium
Lineage: Eukaryota; Metazoa; Arthropoda; Insecta; Hemiptera; Cicadellidae
Description: partial large subunit ribosomal RNA
Source: RNAcentral